UAUAACGUAGAUAGAUGGUCGAGUGAGCAGUUAAUUGUUUCAGAGCUACUGCAGUUGAAGCAUCAUGAAUUUCUCGAUCUACGCCCUGCUGGUGGUGCUGGUGAUCGCCGUCUGUGUCGGCGUCAGCUCCGUCUCGGCCGACUACGGAGACGACGGAUACUACGGCGGAUACGGAUACGG
Long non-coding RNA from Amphibalanus amphitrite, 180 nucleotides. RefSeq lists it as uncharacterized. The record is from RefSeq and is a predicted model, not a curated record. NCBI's taxonomy places the organism in Eukaryota, Metazoa, Arthropoda, Thecostraca, Balanomorpha, Balanidae. The transcript is spliced from 2 exons.